CGCAUCUGUGCAUGCAGCAUAUCAAUAAGCGGAGGAAAAGAAACUAACAAGGAUUCCCUUAGUAACGGCGAGUGAAGCGGGAAGAGCUCAAAUUUGAAAUCUUCAAGGUUUUACCUUGACGAAUUGUAGUUUAAAGAAGUGUUUUCUGUUGAAGUUUUGGUAAAAGUUCUUUGGAAUAGGACAUCAUAGAGGGUGAGAAUCCCGUAUUUGACCAUUAUUUUCAGCUGUGUGAUACACUUUCAAAGAGUCGGAUUGUUUGGGAAUGCAGUCCAAAAUGGGUGGUAAAUUUCAUCUAAAGCUAAAUAUUGGCGAGAGACCGAUAGCGAACAAGUACCGUGAGGGAAAGAUGAAAAGAACUUUGAAAAGAGAGUUAAACAGUACGUGAAAUUGUCAAAAGGGAGGCGUUUGACACCAGUGUUGUUUUCUCGAAAAUCAAUUAAAAAGAGUUUGAUUUUGUUGUGUAUUGACCUUAACAGCUUGCAUUUCAAUUUUCUUGCUUUUUUAAUGCACUUUUCGUUUAACAAGUCAACAUCAGUUUCUUUUGUUGUGAAAAGGUCAUUGGAAGGUGGCUUUCUUUUCGGAGAAAGUGUUUAUAGCCUUUGACUCCUGCAAUCGGAGAGACUGAGGUCUGCAGCGUAGAUCCUUCGGGGUUAGAUACAUUUGUGCUAAGUUAUAGCUUUUUAUAGACAACUUGUUGACUAUGAUUAGUCUUGUAGCUUACUCGCUUAUGCUAUUUUACCUACGCUUAGGAUGUUGACACACGCGCGUGCUCG
Molecule: ribosomal RNA, 773 nt
Filed under: uncultured Neocallimastigales
Lineage: Eukaryota; Fungi; Neocallimastigomycota; Neocallimastigomycetes; Neocallimastigales
Description: partial large subunit ribosomal RNA
Rfam family: Eukaryotic large subunit ribosomal RNA
Source: RNAcentral